RNAcentral lists this ribosomal RNA (393 nucleotides) under uncultured bacterium. RNAcentral describes it as "partial 16S ribosomal RNA". It matches the Rfam family "Bacterial small subunit ribosomal RNA", at positions 523 to 918 of the family's 1533-position model. The record is from RNAcentral.
AUACGGAGGACGCGAGCGUUAUCCGGAUUUAUUGGGUUUAAAGGGAGCGCAGGCGGAGAUGCAAGCGUGACGUCAAAUUUCGGGGCUCAACCCCGUCUCGCGUCGCGAACUGCGUCCCUUGGUUGCGGGAAGGGGAGGCGGAACUCGUGGGGUAGCGGUGAAAUGCAUAGAUAUCACGAAGAACUCCGAUCGCGAAGGCAGCCUUCCGGCCCGUCAACGACGCUCAUGCUCGAAGGUGCGGGUAUCAAACAGGAUUAGAUACCCUGGUAGUCCGCACAGUAAACGAUGGACACCCGCGGUUUGGCCUGUAUGGCUGAGCCGCCAAGCGAAAGCGUUAAGUGUCCCACCUGGGGAGUACGCCGGCAACGGUGAAACUCAAAGGAAUUGACGGGG